UUAUACUAAUAUAAAAGUAAUUAUGCUAGAACUAGUAACAAGAAAUUGAAUUUCUCUUAAAUGUAAGUAUAAGCCAUCACGGGACCACCCACUGGCGCUUAACGUCCUUGUAACCUCCAUAACAGCACCAUUCAAGAAGACCCUAUUAACUUCAACGUUAACCUUACACCAGAACAUUCCAGGAAAGAUUAAAAAAGAGAGAAGGAACUCGGCAAAUUUUAGCCCCGCCUGUUUACCAAAAACAUCGCCUCUUGACAUGAUAUAAGAGGCCCAGCCUGCCCGGUGACAAAGUUUAACGGCUACGGUACCCUGACCGUACGAAGGUAGCAUAAUCACUUGUUCCUUAAAUAGGGACUUGUAUCAACGGCAUCACGAGGGCUGCACUGUCUCCUCUCUUCAAUCAGUGAAACUGAUCCCCCCGUGAAGAAGCGGGGAUUAACCUAUAAGACGAGAAGACCCCAUGGAGCUUUAAACACGUGCUCACACUAUACUUACAUACCCCUUAACUAAAAGCCCUGAGUACAAGUUUUAGGUUGGGGAGACCGCGGAGAACAACCAAACCUCCACGACAAACGGCCCUUAAGUCCUUAUCCACGAGCCACAGCUCUAAGAAUCAAUACACUGAUGAUUAUGACCCGAUAUUAUUCGACUAACGAACCAAGUUACCCUGGGGAUAACAGCGCAAUCUACUUCAAGAGCUCAUAUCGACAAGUAGGUUUACGACCUCGAUGUUGG
This is a ribosomal RNA of 735 nucleotides. It matches the Rfam family "Bacterial large subunit ribosomal RNA", at positions 1273 to 2535 of the family's 2925-position model.